GCGGACGGGUGAGUAAUGCCUAGGAAUCUGCCUGGUAGUGGGGGAUAACGUUCGGAAACGGACGCUAAUACCGCAUACGUCCUACGGGAGAAAGCAGGGGACCUUCGGGCCUUGCGCUAUCAGAUGAGCCUAGGUCGGAUUAGCUAGUUGGUGGGGUAAUGGCUCACCAAGGCGACGAUCCGUAACUGGUCUGAGAGGAUGAUCAGUCACACUGGAACUGAGACACGGUCCAGACUCCUACGGGAGGCAGCAGUGGGGAAUAUUGGACAAUGGGCGAAAGCCUGAUCCAGCCAUGCCGCGUGUGUGAAGAAGGUCUUCGGAUUGUAAAGCACUUUAAGUUGGGAGGAAGGGCAGUAAAUUAAUACUUUGCUGUUUUGACGUUACCGACAGAAUAAGCACCGGCUAACUCUGUGCCAGCAGCCGCGGUAAUACAGAGGGUGCAAGCGUUAAUCGGAAUUACUGGGCGUAAAGCGCGCGUAGGUGGCUAGUUAAGUUGGAUGUGAAAUCCCCGGGCUCAACCUGGGAACUGCAUUCAAAACUGACUGACUAGAGUAUGGUAGAGGGUGGUGGAAUUUCCUGUGUAGCGGUGAAAUGCGUAGAUAUAGGAAGGAACACCAGUGGCGAAGGCGACCACCUGGACUGAUACUGACACUGAGGUGCGAAAGCGUGGGGAGCAAAC
Molecule: ribosomal RNA, 679 nt
Filed under: uncultured bacterium
Lineage: Bacteria
Description: bacterial SSU rRNA
Rfam family: Bacterial small subunit ribosomal RNA
Source: RNAcentral